AUGAUAACCAAUAUAUUCUGGGCAGAUGCAAGAUCAAUAUUAGAUUAUCACUACUUUGGUGACGUGGUAUGCUUUGACACAACCUUUAAGACAAAUAGUUAUGGCAGACCAUUUGCCCCUUUUGUUGGUGUCAACCAUCAUAAACAAACAGUGGUUUUUGGAGCUGCAUUAUUGUAUGAUGAAACAUCUGAGACGUUUGAAUGGUUGUUUGAAACAUUCAAAAGGGCCAUGUCAGGAAAAGAACCAAAGACAAUAUUGACCGAUCAGUGUGCUGCCAUUAUUAGUGCCAUUGGCAAGGUUUUUACUAACUCAACACAUCGUCUAUGUGUGUGGCACAUGUAUCAGAACGCUGCAAAACAUUUGAGUCAUGUUUUCCAAGGUUCCAAGACAUUUAAGAAAGAUUUUGGCAAGUGUGUUUAUGGUUUUGAAGAAGUUGAUGAAUUCCUAACAGGUUGGAAUGAUAUGCUAGUGAAAUAUAAUUUGGAAGAUAAUGACUGGCUACAUAGAUUAUUCCAGAACAAAGAGAAGUGGGCUUUGGUUUAUGGUCGACAAACCUUUUGUGCAGAUAUGAUAUCCACACAAAGAAGCGAGAGUAUCAAUGCACUAUUGAAACGAUACCUGCAUGUUCGCCUUGAUUUAUUAGAUUUCUUCAAGCACUAUGAGAGGGCUGUGGAUGAUAGAAGGUAUGCUGAAGUGGAAAGUGAUUUCUAUGCGAGUCAAACAUCACCAAAGGUGCCUUAUGUGCCGAUGCUUACACAAACAUCGAAAGUAUAUACACCUGCUAUGUUUGAGACAUUUAAAGGAGAAUUUGACAUGGUAAUGGGAUAUUGUGUGUACGAGAGUGGUCGUACUAGCUCUAUUUCUGAAUUCAAGGUUACCCAUUCAGCUAGCCAAAAUAGUCAUACUGUGAAAUUUGAUCCCAAUGGAUCAAAAGUUUCAUGCUCAUGCAAAAAGUUUGAAUUUGUUGGAGUAUUGUGUCGUCAUGCAUUAAAGGUGUUGGACCACAACAAUAUAAAGGAGUUGGCACCAGAAUAUAUCUUGAAAAGAUGGACAAGGCGAGCAAAAUCAGGGCCCUCACAGGCAAUUCAAAAGUAUAGUGAUGAUGAAGAUAUAAGAGUUAUGCUAGCUAGGCAGUAUGGAUCAUUAUGUCGCACUUACAAUAACAUUUUGAGCAAAGCAGCAGCAAACAAAGAAGCAUAUGCACUACUGCAGACUAUGUCAAUUGAACUAAUGGAAAAGGUGGACCAAAUUUUACAUGGAAAUCAAUCAAAAGAUAUAUCACCGAAUCAUGAACAAGCAGAGAAGCAACCAGUUGAAUGCAACAUCGAGAAUGUAGUCACAGAGAAGCAACCAGUUGAAUGCAACCUUGAGAAUGUAGUCACAGUACAGGGAAUAAAGAGAAAAGAACAAGGAAAUAGCAACAAGAGGAUUAAAUCUGGACUGGAGCUGAAUAAUAAGAAUAAACGUAAUAAGAAAGGUCAAGGAACAACAUGCAAGAAUAAGAGUGGUGAUUGUGCUUCUGCAUCAUCUAGACCAAAUCCUAGCUUCAACAUAUCAAACGAGAACUAUAAUUUGCAAGUAGUACAGCAUGCUAUGCCUCCACUACCGAAUGCUGCCAAUUACAAUUUGCAAGUAUUGCAGCAUGCUAUGCCUCCACUACCAAAUGUUGCGAACUAUAAUCCGCAAGUAUUUCCGCCCGCUAUGCCUUCGGUACCACAAGUUGUUUUCCCAUUACCACAUGCACAUAAUUAUAAUUUGCAUGUACUGCCGGGUACUAUGACAUCAGUACCAGGACCUGAGAACUAUAAUUUGCAAGUAUUACAUCAUGGCUUGCCUGCUCCGCUAUCGCAGACAGACACUACUAGUUUUCAACAGUUACUUGGCUUGCGACCACAACCACCAUAUUUCUAUCAUAGCAUUCAACCGAGUCAGCCGCCAACUAGCACUCAACCAAGUCAGAGUUCCCAAAUGUUAUCAGACUCAGGAUGGCCAACAUCUCAAAAAUGA
RNAcentral lists this ribosomal RNA (2007 nucleotides) under Triticum aestivum (bread wheat). RNAcentral's name for it is "partial small subunit ribosomal RNA". Lineage: Eukaryota; Viridiplantae; Streptophyta; Magnoliopsida; Poales; Poaceae. The record is from RNAcentral.